AGAGUUUGAUUAUGGCUCAGGAUGAACGCUAGCUACAGGCUUAACACAUGCAAGUCGAGGGGCAGCAUAAUCGAAGCUUGCUUUGAUUGAUGGCGACCGGCGCACGGGUGAGUAACGCGUAUCCAACCUUCCCCUUAGUAGGGCAUAGCCCGGCGAAAGUCGGAUUAAUACCCUAUGUUAUCCGUCGAGGGCAUCUGAAAUGGAUUAAAGAUUUAUCGCUAAGGGAUGGGGAUGCGUCUGAUUAGGUUGUAGGCGGGGUGACGGCCCACCUAGUCCGCGAUGGUAGGGGAUCUGAGAGGACGGUCCCCCACACUGGUACUGAGACACGGACCAGACUCCUGCGGGAGGCAGCAGUAAGGGAUAUUGGUCAAUGGGCGGAAGCCUGAACCAGCCAAUGCCGCGUGAGGGAAUGAGGCCCUACGGGUCGUGAACCUCUUUUAUUCGGGGACAAGGACGCGGUCGUGAACCGUGUUUGAGGGUACCGAAGGAAUAAGCGUCGGCUAACUCCGUGCCAGCCGCCGC
This 522-nucleotide ribosomal RNA is filed under the name uncultured bacterium. RNAcentral's name for it is "bacterial SSU rRNA". It matches the Rfam family "Bacterial small subunit ribosomal RNA", at positions 8 to 518 of the family's 1533-position model. The record is from RNAcentral.